AGUAAAGCGUUGACGGAGCCAAGUAUAAGUAUAGGCCUUUCAGAGAGCCGGUGGGUGGUGGAAAUCGGCAGGGUAAAUUAUACGGAGCACUCCAGAGCACUGGGCUGAACAUUUUAUGAAAAUAGGCGCAGUCGGUUAGAACCCGUUACCGUUCCUGGUCUUUAAACAAAAGACCGCAGAGGCUGUAUGUGUGAGCAUACAGUAAAUUAGGGUGGUACCACGAUGAACGAACUCUCGUCCCUUUA
This 245-nucleotide non-coding RNA is filed under the name Paenibacillus larvae. RNAcentral describes it as "T-box sequence". It matches the Rfam family "T-box leader". From Rfam's summary of the family: Uncharged tRNA acts as the effector for transcription antitermination of genes in the T-box leader family. T-boxes are found upstream of many aminoacyl-tRNA synthetase genes and some amino acid biosynthetic genes usually in Gram-positive bacteria. The anticodon of a specific tRNA base pairs to a specifier sequence within the T-box motif, and the NCCA acceptor tail of the tRNA base pairs to a conserved bulge in the T-box antiterminator hairpin. The record is from RNAcentral. Lineage: Bacteria; Bacillati; Bacillota; Bacilli; Caryophanales; Paenibacillaceae.